ACGAGCGGCGAACGGGUGAGUAACACGUGAGCAACCUGCCCCUGACUCCGGGAUAAGCGGUGGAAACGCCGUCUAAUACCGGAUACGACCCUCCGCCUCAUGGCGGCGGGUGGAAAGUUUUUUCGGUCGGGGAUGGGCUCGCGGCCUAUCAGCUUGUUGGUGGGGUAACGGCCUACCAAGGCGAUUACGGGUAGCCGGCCUGAGAGGGCGACCGGCCACACUGGGACUGAGACACGGCCCAGACUCCUGCGGGAGGCAGCAGUGGGGAAUCUUGCGCAAUGGGCGGAAGCCUGACGCAGCGACGCCGCGUGGGGGAUGACGGCCUUCGGGUUGUAAACCUCUUUUACCACUCACGCAGGCCCCGGGUUUUCUCGGGGUUGACGGUAGGUGGGGAAUAAGGACCGGCUAACUACGUGCCAGCAGCCGCGGUAAUACGUAGGGUCCGAGCGUUGUCCGGAAUUAUUGGGCGUAAAGAGCUCGUAGGCGGCGUGUCGCGUCUGCUGUGAAAGGCCGGGGCUUAACUCCGGUUUUGCAGUGGAUACGGGCAUGCUAGAGGUAGGUAGGGGAGACUGGAAUUCCUGGUGUAGCGGUGAAAUGCGCAGAUAUCAGGAGGAACACCGGUGGCGAAGGCGGGUCUCUGGGCCUUACCUGACGCUGAGGAGCGAAAGCGUGGGGAGCGAACAGGAUUAGAUACCCUGGUAGUCCACGCCG
RNAcentral lists this ribosomal RNA (711 nucleotides) under Nocardiopsis sp. KLBMP 1341. RNAcentral's name for it is "bacterial SSU rRNA". It matches the Rfam family "Bacterial small subunit ribosomal RNA", at positions 91 to 802 of the family's 1533-position model. The record is from RNAcentral. Lineage: Bacteria; Bacillati; Actinomycetota; Actinomycetes; Streptosporangiales; Nocardiopsidaceae.